This 468-nucleotide ribosomal RNA is filed under the name uncultured bacterium. RNAcentral's name for it is "partial 16S ribosomal RNA". It matches the Rfam family "Bacterial small subunit ribosomal RNA", at positions 28 to 507 of the family's 1533-position model. The record is from RNAcentral.
GACGAACGCUGGCGGCGUGCUUAACACAUGCAAGUCGAACGGAAAGGCCCUGCUUUUGUGGGGUUCUCGAGUGGCGAACGGGUGAGUAACACGUGAGUAACCUGCCCUUGACUUUGGGAUAACUUCAGGAAACUGGGGCUAAUACCAGAUAGGAGCUCCUGCUGGAUGGUGAGGGUUGGAACGUUUCGGCUGUUGGGGUUGGACUCGCGGCUGAUCAGCUUGUUGGUGGGGUAGUGGCUUACCAAGGCUUGGACGGAUAGCUGGCUGGAGAGGGUGACCGGCCUCAUUGGGACUGCGAUACGGCCCAGACUCCUACGGGAGGCAGCAGUGGGGAAUAUUGCACAAUGGGCGGAAGCCGGAUGCAGCAACGCCGCGUGCGGGAUGACGGCCUUCGGGUUGUAAACCGCAUUCGCCUGUGACGAAGCGUGAGUGACGGUAAUGGGUAAAGAAGCACCGGCUAACUACGUG